Long non-coding RNA from Rhinopithecus roxellana (golden snub-nosed monkey), 2066 nucleotides. RefSeq lists it as uncharacterized. The transcript is spliced from 2 exons. The record is from RefSeq and is a predicted model, not a curated record. NCBI's taxonomy places the organism in Eukaryota, Metazoa, Chordata, Mammalia, Primates, Cercopithecidae.
GGUUUCACCGUGUUGGCCAGGCUGGUCUUGAACUCCUGACCUCAGGUGAUCCACCUGCCUCGGCCUCCCAAAGUGCUGGGAUUCCAGGCGUGAGCCACCGCGCCUGGCCAGGAUGUUUUUCACACAGACCUCGUUGGUUCCAUGUGCACCGAGUGCCCACUCUGCCCUGUAUGCUGCUCCAGCGACUGUGCCAGGGACACAUCGGGCAACAAAGGCCCCUGUGCUUACAGAGUCAGGGUUGCAGGGGAGACAGACAAUAAGCAAACCAGCCAAACACAACAGGUCAGAAAGUGGGAAGAAGGCAGGUGAUACCGGGCUUGGAACUUCAAAAGAUGGUGGCAGACGCCUCACCAAGCAGGCGAGGGAGUGGCGGAAGGAGCGGCAGGUGCAGACGCCCUGAGGUGGGUGCAGAGUACAUGCGCCUGGUUUCCAGUGCAGCAGGCAGGCGGGCGUAAGGGGCCCCUGAGGCAGGGCCUGGUCGGCUGCUGCAGGACGUUCGCCUUUACCCCAAGUCAGCUGAGAGCCACCGCAGAGGAGCAGAGGAGGGGCUUGGUCUGUCUGACAUUUUAGAAGGACUAGUCCCACAUUUCAGAUACAGCAGGCCUGGUGGGGCCUGAGAACUUUCAUUUGCACCAAGUUCCCAGGUGGCACUGAUGCUGCCAGUCCAGGGGCCAUACUUGCAGAAUCACAGGGCUGGGCUCCGCGCCAACAGUGCAGAAAGCCUGAUUCUCACUUAGCUGUCCUCAAUGAUUCAGGGAGGUUUUGCAUACACAGAUGCUUCCUUAACUCUCGCAUGUUUUAACCUGAAAGGACACUGAUCCCUUUCGUAAACUUUCCUGAUCUUAAAAAUCUUUGCUAAAGCUGUAGUCCCAGCUACUCAGGAGGCUGAGGUAGGAGAAUGGCGAGACCCAGGAGGCGGAGCUUGCAAUGAGCCAACAUCGCACCACUGCACUCCAGCCUGGCCAACAGAGUGAGACUGUCUCCAAAAAAAAAAAAAAUUGACUAAAGGUACAAACAGGGAAAGGUGCGGCUCACCCAGGCUGUUUAAGAGGAGACUUGGGGCCAAAGAAGAGGCAGGGAGGCCAGAGAGGAGUAAUCCAAGCAAGAGGCUGUGUCCCCAGGCCCAGGUUGGCAGCAGAGGAGUGAGAAGAUGCGGGGUUCUGGAUAUAUUCUAGGAGUAGAGGUGAUGGGUUGUGAUGGAUGGAUGUGGGGCUGAGAGAAACAAAGUGCCCCAGGCAGUGGGAGGUGGAGUUAUUCCCUGACAUGGGGUAGAUGUGGGGGAAGAUCAAGGUUAACUUCAGAUGCACAGUGGAUAAGCAGGACAGCUGUCCAGUAGGCAGCAGACAAAUGAACACAGGAUUCAGAAAGCUGUGGAUGGAACUCGGAAGUCGGCUGCAUUUAGGUGACUGUUUUUUUUUUUUUUUUGAGACGGAGUCUUGCUGUGUCACCCAGGCUGGAGUGCAGUGCUGCAAUCUCGGCUCACUGCACGCUCCGCUUCCCGGGUUCAAGGGAUUCUCCUGCCUCAGCCUCCCGAGUACCCAAGUAGCUGGGACUACAGGUGAAAAUCUCACCCGUGGCCGGCGGCUACCGUGCUGGACAGCACAGGUGCGGACAGAGGAACCCUGGGAGCCGCAGGUUUCAGCUUUGGGGAAAGGAGGAUGAACUAGCAAAGGCGGCCAAGAAGGAACAGCCUGAAAGGCAGGAGACCCCAGGCUGCCGGGUGACCAGGAUGGCAAGAAUGGGCUCCGGGGAAGAGCGCAUAGCCCUGGGUCACUGCGCCGAGCCUGAGCCGAGGACCAAGAUGAGAACCGUGGUUGACUCAGCAACGUGGAGCCAUUCCUACCAAGCUUGCUCCCAUUUUGCUGGGACAGGGACACUGUGAGUGGCAGGGGCAGCAGCCACCGGGGCAGGUUUUGUGGAGAUGCACAGUGGGAAGCUCCGGCUUAACCCCGCCGCAGCCUCAUGAUACUGGCACUGCCCUUAGUUGAUAGGAAACAGCUCAGAGAAGGGGCACUGCUUGCUUAGAGUCACACCGCAAAAAAAAAAAAAAAAAAAAAAAAAAAAAA